RNAcentral lists this ribosomal RNA (1346 nucleotides) under uncultured bacterium. RNAcentral describes it as "bacterial SSU rRNA". It matches the Rfam family "Bacterial small subunit ribosomal RNA", at positions 28 to 1381 of the family's 1533-position model. The record is from RNAcentral.
GACGAACGCUGGCGGCGUGCUUAACACAUGCAAGUCGAACGGAAAGGCCCUGCUUUUGUGGGGUGCUCGAGUGGCGAACGGGUGAGUAACACGUGAGUAACCUGCCCUUGACUUUGGGAUAACUUCAGGAAACUGGGGCUAAUACCGGAUAGGAGCUCCUGCUGCAUGGUGGGGGUUGGAAAGUUUCGGCGGUUGGGGAUGGACUCGCGGCUUAUCAGCUUGUUGGUGGGGUAGUGGCUUACCAAGGCUUUGACGGGUAGCCGGCCUGAGAGGGUGACCGGCCACAUUGGGACUGAGAUACGGCCCAGACUCCUACGGGAGGCAGCAGUGGGGAAUAUUGCACAAUGGGCGGAAGCCUGAUGCAGCAACGCCGCGUGCGGGAUGACGGCCUUCGGGUUGUAAACCGCUUUCGCCUGUGACGAAGCGUGAGUGACGGUAAUGGGUAAAGAAGCACCGGCUAACUACGUGCCAGCAGCCGCGGUGAUACGUAGGGUGCGAGCGUUGUCCGGAUUUAUUGGGCGUAAAGGGCUCGUAGGUGGUUGAUCGCGUCGGAAGUGUAAUCUUGGGGCUUAACCCUGAGCGUGCUUUCGAUACGGGUUGACUUGAGGAAGGUAGGGGAGAAUGGAAUUCCUGGUGGAGCGGUGGAAUGCGCAGAUAUCAGGAGGAACACCAGUGGCGAAGGCGGUUCUCUGGGCCUUUCCUGACGCUGAGGAGCGAAAGCGUGGGGAGCGAACAGGCUUAGAUACCCUGGUAGUCCACGCUGUAAACGGUGGGUACUAGGUGUGGGGUCCAUUCCACGGGUUCCGUGCCGUAGCUAACGCUUUAAGUACCCCGCCUGGGGAGUACGGCCGCAAGGCUAAAACUCAAAGGAAUUGACGGGGCCCCGCACAAGCGGCGGAGCAUGCGGAUUAAUUCGAUGCAACGCGUAGAACCUUACCUGGGUUUGACAUGGAUCGGGAGCGCUCAGAGAUGGGUGUGCCUCUUUUGGGGUCGGUUCACAGGUGGUGCAUGGCUGUCGUCAGCUCGUGUCGUGAGAUGUUGGGUUAAGUCCCGCAACGAGCGCAACCCUUGUUCACUGUUGCCAGCACGUUAUGGUGGGGACUCAGUGGAGACCGCCGGGGUCAACUCGGAGGAAGGUGGGGAUGACGUCAAGUCAUCAUGCCCCUUAUGUCCAGGGCUUCACGCAUGCUACAAUGGCUGGUACAGAGAGUGGCGAGCCUGUGAGGGUGUGCGAAUCUCGGAAAGCCGGUCUCAGUUCGGAUUGGGGUCUGCAACUCGACCUCAUGAAGUCGGAGUCGCUAGUAAUCGCAGAUCAGCAACGCUGCGGUGAAUACGUUCCCGGGGCU